RNAcentral lists this small nucleolar RNA (81 nucleotides) under Leptosomus discolor (cuckoo roller). RNAcentral describes it as "Small nucleolar RNA MBII-202". It matches the Rfam family "Small nucleolar RNA MBII-202". From Rfam's summary of the family: MBII-202 is a member of the C/D class of snoRNA which contain the C (UGAUGA) and D (CUGA) box motifs. Most of the members of the box C/D family function in directing site-specific 2'-O-methylation of substrate RNAs. Lineage: Eukaryota; Metazoa; Chordata; Aves; Leptosomiformes; Leptosomidae. The record is from Rfam by way of RNAcentral.
UGAUGAGACAUCUCCGGAAUCGCUGCACCGCCUUGAUGAUUCCCUCGAACCCUGGUAUUUCUGAUGACUGCGGCCCUGCUC